RNAcentral lists this ribosomal RNA (430 nucleotides) under Pseudomonadota bacterium. Its description in RNAcentral is "Proteobacteria bacterium partial 16S ribosomal RNA". It matches the Rfam family "Bacterial small subunit ribosomal RNA", at positions 355 to 776 of the family's 1533-position model. Lineage: Bacteria; Pseudomonadati; Pseudomonadota. The record is from RNAcentral.
UGGGGAAUAUUGGACAAUGGGCGAAAGCCUGAUCCAGCCAUGCCGCGUGUGUGAAGAAGGCCUUUUGGUUGUAAAGCACUUUAAGCGAGGAGGAGGCUACUAGUACUAAUACUACUGGAUAGUGGACGUUACUCGCAGAAUAAGCACCGGCUAACUCUGUGCCAGCAGCCGCGGUAAUACAGAGGGUGCGAGCGUUAAUCGGAUUUACUGGGCGUAAAGCGUGCGUAGGCGGCUGAUUAAGUCGGAUGUGGAAUCCCUGAGCUUAACUUAGGAAUUGCAUUCGAUACUGGUCAGCUAGAGUAUGGGAGAGGAUGGUAGAAUUCCAGGUGUAGCGGUGAAAUGCGUAGAGAUCUGGAGGAAUACCGAUGGCGAAGGCAGCCAUCUGGCCUAAUACUGACGCUGAGGUACGAAAGCAUGGGGAGCAAACAGG